UACGAAAGGUGCAAGCGUUACUCGGAAUCACUGGGCGUAAAGCGCACGUAGGCGGACUCGUAGGUCAAUUGUGAAAUACCUGGGCUCAACCCGGGAACUGCAGUUGAAACCGCUUGUCUUGAAUACCUGAGAGGGUGGGGGAAUACCUGGUGGAGAAGUGAAAUUCGUAGAGAUCAGGAGGAACACCGGUGGCGAAGGCGGCUUUCUGGACAGUAACUGACGCUGAGGCGCGAAAGCUAGGGGAGCAAACAGG
This 253-nucleotide ribosomal RNA is filed under the name uncultured bacterium. RNAcentral describes it as "partial 16S ribosomal RNA". It matches the Rfam family "Bacterial small subunit ribosomal RNA", at positions 524 to 776 of the family's 1533-position model. The record is from RNAcentral.